UCCGACUUGACGCCGGCAGUCUCGCUAGAGUCCCCGCCAUGACGCGCUGGCAACUAGCGACAGGGGUUGCGCUCGUUAAGGGACUUAACCCGACACUUCACAGCACGAGCUGACGACAGCCAUGCAGCACCUGUGCACGUUCCACGGUUGCCCGCGUCACUCCUGUUUCCAGGAGCUAAUCCGUGCAUGUCAAGCCCAGGAUAAGGUUCUUCGCGUUGCUUCGAAUUGAGCCACAUGCUCCACCGCUUGUGUGAGCCCCCGUCAAUUCCUUUGAGUUUUAGCCUUGCGACCGUACUCCCCAGGCGGUGCACUUAACGCUUUCGUUUCGACCGAGAGUGGUGUCAGAACCCCCCCGAUCUAGUGCACAUCGUUUACGGCGUGGACUAC
RNAcentral lists this unclassified non-coding RNA (387 nucleotides) under uncultured Phycisphaeraceae bacterium. RNAcentral's name for it is "contains 16S-23S intergenic spacer region". The record is from RNAcentral. Lineage: Bacteria; Pseudomonadati; Planctomycetota; Phycisphaerae; Phycisphaerales; Phycisphaeraceae.